This is a long non-coding RNA of Mya arenaria, 2074 nucleotides long. RefSeq lists it as uncharacterized. The record is from RefSeq and is a predicted model, not a curated record. The transcript is spliced from 7 exons. NCBI's taxonomy places the organism in Eukaryota, Metazoa, Mollusca, Bivalvia, Myida, Myidae.
AAAGAAUAAUGGUAAACAUCUUCAUGAUCUUGGCUUUUCUACGUUUUCUUCCUCAAACUGUUGACUUGCCGUGUCUGCGGACCAAUGCUCACUAAACAGGAAUAAACCGGAUUGAACUCUUUCAUCUUCAAGUGUGUUAAUAGAAAUAUAUCCAGCCACCUGUCUAGCAGAAUACCAGUGUUGCCAGAACAACUACAACAUUGGACCACAUGCACUGGAACCUUCUUAUUUCAGGACUACCAGUGUGGAAGGGCUGUAUUUAAUUGUUGCUGUCAACUAUCUUGGUACCAGUCAUGACAACAUUUACCUACCUGCAGCAGAGGCCCUGCUGACUUUAAACAAUCAUAGCUGACGGAUUGAACUCUUUCAUCUUGAAGUGUGUUAAUAGGAAUAUAUCCAGCAACCUGUCUGAAGUUUUGCCAGAAUAACUACAACAUUGGACAACAAGCUCUGGAACUUUGUUAUUCAAGACACUCCUUGUUGUGCGUUUGCCGAAAUGCAGAGUGGUACCACCAGUCGUCUAUGCCACCUUUCCCCUCAUUUUAGAGGCUUAUAUGGACAGUCCCUGCAGUUUACAGCUAAGCCCUCAGUAUAGCCCUACAAAUUUUAGAUACUGCCGAUGGCGUAGAUCCAGUACAUUCGGCCUGAGUUUCCAGUACUGGGUUGACAUCUCCAUGCAGCCGAACUAGAGCCAGGAUUAAUAUCAGACGGACCUCUUUGUGGGUGGAUGGAUUCAGAGAUGACCUCUAGGAUGCGGCCAUGACUGUGUCACAUGGACGUUACAGAUGAAACCAUCAUGAUUUAGUUUUUUGGUGAUAAAUCAACAGACAAAGUGUGUAUACUUUGUGGAUAAAUAGUGUUAAAGCUAGAAACUUUUCUACAAAUUCCUACUAAAGUGGUGAACUGGAAUAAUAUUGUAUAUAACAAAGAAGAGAAUCUUGUUGUGAGCCGAAUACACAAUUCUGCAGUCAUCUGCACUAGACCUGUUGGGGCAGUUUGAUUUGAUUUAUCAGUGGCUCUACUUAAAGCAAGCUUUUGUUUUCACAAGCUUGAUGUAAUAUAUAUGAUCAAAUACAUGAUUGUUUUUGAGUGAAAAUUUAAAAAAUAAGAAAUUCUACCUCUUUUAAACCCAAUAUACCAGCUUGGAGACCGAAAUCCAUCUCUGACAUUGCCAGAGGUUCUGUUCAAACUUGUAAAUACUGUUAAUAAUUCAGGUAGUGGAUACAAUUAACUGUAACAUGACUGUAUAUUUCUUAUGUACAAAAUUAAUGUUUAUUUUUUUUCUGAAUAGUAAUGUCAAUGGUGUUUUGGGCUUCUGUUAAAGAUGCACUCAAACUCCCAAAUGAGAUUUACCACAUUUAAUAAUAUUAUUUAAAUAUUCCAAAAAGGAUGAAUAAAUGUCAAAAACAAUGGUUCUUAUGAAGGAUACCGAGUUUAAUUUUAAAGAAAUUAGCAUAAAACACGGUAUUUUUACCUUUUGAGACUAAUAUAUUAGUAGACCACAGUAAAUCUUUUAGCAUUCACCAAUCAUUUAAUAUGUUUUGCGUUUUGGUUACAAUCUUGUUAUCAGUAAUUAAUAAUAUUCAUAAAUGCAUUAUUUACUUUAAGUAGUUACAGGCUUAUCAGUCAAAAUUGAUGUUUGUUGUACAUGUGUAUGUAUUGAUUUUUAAUAAGAGUGUCACUUUAAUCAUAAGCAUCUAGAUUUUCUAUAUAUUUGUAAACAUGUACACUAUUUAUCUCUGCAUCUUUUAUUUUGAAUCAUAAGGGAUCAAAUGCUGUUAAAAUCACUUAUUAUAGACAUCUUUUUAAGUGACAUAUAUGUAAUAAAAUGGCCUUAUUAUUAUUGCCAUCAUACAAUUGUAGAAUAAAAGUUAAGACCAGUUUGUGGUAGCCUGUGAGUCAUUCAUGUUGUUGUGAUAUAUCUUUCAUCAUGGUUUUGAGAAAUGGGAACAAAUGCUUCAAAAAUAUGUUUUACUAUACAUGUACUUUGAUAAUGUAAGGCUCCAUAAAUGGAGUCUGAUGUGUUUUAUAUUCUGUACUAUACUUUUAAUUAUCUUUUAUAUUUCAAUGCAAA